AUGCUACUUCUGAGUAUCGGAAGAUAUAAUGAAAUGCAAAUAGCCUUUCACCCUAAAAUAGAAAGGGAUUAGGGAAGGCAAACUUAAAACUUAGUUUAAGUAGCUGGAACAAGGUCGUUUAGUUCGGCGGGUAUCCAAUAAUAAACUAACAUUUACAAAAUUGUUUACUAAUCAUGUGUAGAAGUGGGCACAUGAUCUAGGUAACUCUAACACCCUGCCAUUCGAAUUUGGCGAGUGUUAGCACCAUUACUCCCCAGCCUCUUCCUUUUCUUUGGAUUUCCCCUCAUCUUCAAUAUGAAAACCUUGUAUCUUAUGUGAAACCUCAUCAGCAGUUAC
Lupinus albus (white lupine) is the source of this 336-nucleotide non-coding RNA. NCBI's taxonomy places the organism in Eukaryota, Viridiplantae, Streptophyta, Magnoliopsida, Fabales, Fabaceae. The record is from the annotation of a GenBank genome assembly.